AGAGUUUGAUCAUGGCUCAGAUUGAACGCUGGCGGCAUGCUUUACACAUGCAAGUCGAACGGUAACAGGUCUUCGGAUGCUGACGAGUGGCGAACGGGUGAGUAAUACAUCGGAACGUGCCUAGUAGUGGGGGAUAACUACUCGAAAGAGUAGCUAAUACCGCAUGAGAUCUACGGAUGAAAGCAGGGGACCUUCGGGCCUUGUGCUACUAGAGCGGCUGAUGGCAGAUUAGGUAGUUGGUGGGGUAAAGGCUUACCAAGCCUGCGAUCUGUAGCUGGUCUGAGAGGACGACCAGCCACACUGGGACUGAGACACGGCCCAGACUCCUACGGGAGGCAGCAGUGGGGAAUUUUGGACAAUGGGCGAAAGCCUGAUCCAGCAAUGCCGCGUGCAGGAUGAAGGCCCUCGGGUUGUAAACUGCUUUUGUACGGAACGAAAAGCCUGGGGCUAAUAUCCCCGGGUCAUGACGGUACCGUAAGAAUAAGCACCGGCUAACUACGUGCCAGCAGCCGCGGUAAUACGUAGGGUGCAAGCGUUAAUCGGAAUUACUGGGCGUAAAGCGUGCGCAGGCGGUUUUGUAAGACAGUGGUGAAAUCCCCGGGCUCAACCUGGGAACUGCCAUUGUGACUGCAAGGCUAGAGUGCGGCAGAGGGGGAUGGAAUUCCGCGUGUAGCAGUGAAAUGCGUAGAUAUGCGGAGGAACACCGAUGGCGAAGGCAAUCCCCUGGGCCUGCACUGACGCUCAUGCACGAAAGCGUGGGGAGCAAACAGGAUUAGAUACCCUGGUAGUCCACGCCCUAAACGAUGUCAACUGGUUGUUGGGUCUUAACUGACUCAGUAACGAAGCUAACGCGUGAAGUUGACCGCCUGGGGAGUACGGCCGCAAGGUUGAA
This 892-nucleotide ribosomal RNA is filed under the name uncultured bacterium. Its description in RNAcentral is "bacterial SSU rRNA". It matches the Rfam family "Bacterial small subunit ribosomal RNA", at positions 8 to 898 of the family's 1533-position model. The record is from RNAcentral.